UUUCAAAACCUCUUCCACGGGUUCGGCUUUUGUGUUUUGCUUGAGGGCAAGCAAAAGCUAAGUCUGGGGGAGUUGAUAUAUCCCUAUUUUUACUGAUUUAAUCUAUGAUUUUGAGUCUUUAUGUUAUUUCUCGAGUCUUUUUAGUGUCUUUUCAGGUAUUCUAUGCAAUGGGACAACAAUGGAGAUAAGGAGAUAUUUUGGAGCAAAAGCUAAGGAAAAGGAAGCUAAGGACGAUUUCAGUUCCAGAUUCAGCGAGAGUGUCGAUCGACACACACCUCGUGUUGAUCGACACCAGUUUCGGCCCAGCAAAGUCCAUGAUGCUUUCAUGUUUAUAGAAGAGGAAAUUUGCCCCAGAAGACUUCCCUAUUUGCUUUAUUAGUCCCUGGAUGUUUUAUAGGGUUCUUAUAUAGUUGUUUAGACCUAAGUUUCUUUUAUGAAGUUCUUUGCAAAUCCCUAUUUUCAGAGACAUAAGCUAUUCAUCCCUUGUUCUCGAGAGAUUCAUUCAGUUUUCAAUACAGUGAAGACAUCCCUUCUUACUCUAAUCUUAUUUGAUGUGUUUAUGCUUUUUUACUCA
RNAcentral lists this small RNA (574 nucleotides) under Arabidopsis thaliana (thale cress). RNAcentral's name for it is "ATSL208250". Lineage: Eukaryota; Viridiplantae; Streptophyta; Magnoliopsida; Brassicales; Brassicaceae. The record is from RNAcentral.